GAUGAACGCUAGCGAUAGGCCUAACACAUGCAAGUCGAGGGGCAUCACAUGAAGUAGCAAUACGGAUGGUGGCGACCGGCGCACGGGUGAGUAACACGUAUGCAACCUGCCUUCAACAAGGGGAUAACCCGUUGAAAGACGGACUAAUACCCUAUAACACAGGGGUCCCGCAUGGGAAUAUUUGUUAAAGGACAACCGGUUGAAGAUGGGCAUGCGUUCCAUUAGCUAGUUGGCGGGGUAACGGCCCACCAAGGCAACGAUGGAUAGGGGAACUGAGAGGUUUAUCCCCCACACUGGUACUGAGACACGGACCAGACUCCUACGGGAGGCAGCAGUGAGGAAUAUUGGUCAAUGGGCGAGAGCCUGAACCAGCCAAGUCGCGUGCAGGAAGAAUGUCCUAUGGAUUGUAAACUGCUUUUGCAGGGGAAUAAAGUGAGCCACGUGUGGUUUUUUGUAUGUACUCUGCGAAUAAGGAUCGGCUAACUCCGUGCCAGCAGCC
This 499-nucleotide ribosomal RNA is filed under the name uncultured bacterium. RNAcentral describes it as "bacterial SSU rRNA". It matches the Rfam family "Bacterial small subunit ribosomal RNA", at positions 28 to 516 of the family's 1533-position model. The record is from RNAcentral.